AUUGAACGCUGGCGGCAGGCUUAACACAUGCAAGUCGAGCGGGGUGAUGGUGCUUGCACUAUCACUUAGCGGCGGACGGGUGAGUAAUGCUUAGGAAUCUGCCUAUUAGUGGGGGACAACAUCUCGAAAGGGAUGCUAAUACCGCAUACGUCCUACGGGAGAAAGCAGGGGAUCACUUGUGACCUUGCGCUAAUAGAUGAGCCUAAGUCGGAUUAGCUAGUUGGUGGGGUAAGGCCUACCAAGGCGACGAUCUGUAGCGGGUCUGAGAGGAUGAUCCGCCACACUGGGACUGAGAGACGGCCCAGACGCCUACGGGAGGCAGCAGUGGGGAAUAUUGGACAAUGGGGGGAACCCUGAUCCAGCCAUGCCGCGUGUGUGAAGAAGGCCUUAUGGUUGUAAAGCACUUUAAGCGAGGAGGAGGCUCUUUUGGUUAAUACCCAAGAUGAGUGGACGUUACUCGCAGAAUAAGCACCGGCUAACUCUGUGCCAGCCGCCGCGGUAA
This 502-nucleotide ribosomal RNA is filed under the name uncultured bacterium. RNAcentral describes it as "partial 16S ribosomal RNA". It matches the Rfam family "Bacterial small subunit ribosomal RNA", at positions 30 to 523 of the family's 1533-position model. The record is from RNAcentral.